UGGAGAGCAUCGAUUUUAUAUGAAAAGGGUGGUGAAUAUGGCUAAAAUUGUCAAGUAUGUUUAUGUUAUUAUUAUCUUCCUUUCUCUAUUUCUUGUUGCAACAAAGAUUGAAGUAGGUUUUACCAGCAGAACAGAGGAGUAUUAGAACAAUUGCCUAUGAUUUCGGAACAUUUCUAUUGUUUUCUAUAUUUGAGUCUGUAAUUCUAUUCUUCCCAAAACAUAGCAAUUUUAGGGUGUUCUUGAUGUAAUUCAUGAAUAAAUCAUGCAUAUCAGCAAAGGAUGACAUCUGAAGAUUUGUGAACACCUUGGUAAGAUGAAGAAUGAAGAUUCAAGAGGCCUCAGAAGACUUCACAAAGCAAGGAAUUAUGUUCCCAAGUUCAAAGACAUCUUACAUAGAAGCAAACACCUAAAAAGGCAAAAAAAACAUGUGUUUUCAGCAUCGGACAACAUUCACAAGCGCCUAGCGCACAGAUUGGGGCACCAGGUGCCCAAAGACGGUUUAAGCAAGCGUCUGAUGCAUGAAAUGGGGCGCCAGGAGCCUAACACUUCUCUCACAUGCAAAAGGCGCAUGGCAAUAGGGCUAGGUGUCUGGUUGCUUGCGAAAAAAGUCACAAUUUUGUGACUUGUUGUGGAAGAAAGCCUGCGGUUUCAGCCCAAGUUUAGGUGGAAACUUUCCCUAUAAAUACCGCCUUCCUCGUUCAGAACUGAGACAGUUUCAGAGGAAGGCGAGCACUAGGAGUUUUUAGGAGGAGUUUGUCUCUACUCUCUCCAAGUUUUUCUAGGGUAUAUUUUAUAUCUUUUGUAAUUUGUUUUUAGUUGCCAUGUUCAAAUAAAUCUUUUUAUGCUAGGGUCCUAAAAUAAAUCUCUAUUUUAUUUGUUGGAUAA
Long non-coding RNA from Medicago truncatula (barrel medic), 885 nucleotides. RefSeq lists it as uncharacterized. The record is from RefSeq and is a predicted model, not a curated record. The transcript has 2 exons. NCBI's taxonomy places the organism in Eukaryota, Viridiplantae, Streptophyta, Magnoliopsida, Fabales, Fabaceae.